GGGCGGCGUACCAUGCAAGUCGAGCGGUAGAGAGGUGCUUGCACCUCUUGAGAGCGGCGGACGGGUGAGUAAUGCCUAGGAAUCUGCCUGGUAGUGGGGGAUAACGCUCGGAAACGGACGCUAAUACCGCAUACGUCCUACGGGAGAAAGCAGGGGACCUUCGGGCCUUGCGCUAUCAGAUGAGCCUAGGUCGGAUUAGCUAGUUGGUGGGGUAAUGGCUCACCAAGGCGACGAUCCGUAACUGGUCUGAGAGGAUGAUCAGUCACACUGGAACUGAGACACGGUCCAGACUCCUACGGGAGGCAGCAGUGGGGAAUAUUGGACAAUGGGCGAAAGCCUGAUCCAGCCAUGCCGCGUGUGUGAAGAAGGUCUUCGGAUUGUAAAGCACUUUAAGUUGGGAGGAAGGGUUGUAGAUUAAUACUCUGCAAUUUUGACGUUACCGACAGAAUAAGCACCGGCUAACUCUGUGCCAGCAGCCGCGGUAAUACAGAGGGUGCAAGCGUUAAUCGGAAUUACUGGGCGUAAAGCGCGCGUAGGUGGUUCGUUAAGUUGGAUGUGAAAGCCCCGGGCUCAACCUGGGAACUGCAUUCAAAACUGUCGAGCUAGAGUAUGGUAGAGGGUGGUGGAAUUUCCUGUGUAGCGGUGAAAUGCGUAGAUAUAGGAAGGAACACCAGUGGCGAAGGCGACCACCUGGACUGAUACUGACACUGAGGUGCGAAAGCGUGGGGAGCAAACAGGAUUAGAUACCCUGGUAGUCCACGCCGUAAACGAUGUCAACUAGCCGUUGGGAGCCUUGAGCUCUUAGUGGCGCAGCUAACGCAUUAAGUUGACCGCCUGGGGAGUACGGCCGCAAGGUUAAAACUCAAAUGAAUUGACGGGGGCCCGCACAAGCGGUGGAGCAUGUGGUUUAAUUCGAAGCAACGCGAAAAAACCUUACCAGGCCUUGACAUCCAAUGAACUUUCCAGAGAUGGAUUGGUUGCCUUCGGGAACAUUGAGACAGGUGCUGCAUGGCUGUCGUCAGCUCGUGUCGUGGAAAGUUGGGGUUAAGUCCCGUAACGAGCGCAACCCUUGUCCUUAGUUACCAGCCACGUUAUGGUGGGGCCCCCUAAAGGAGACUGCCCGGACAAACCCGAAGGAAGGGGGGGAUGAAGUA
RNAcentral lists this ribosomal RNA (1154 nucleotides) under Pseudomonas mucoides. RNAcentral describes it as "bacterial SSU rRNA". It matches the Rfam family "Bacterial small subunit ribosomal RNA", at positions 44 to 1186 of the family's 1533-position model. The record is from RNAcentral. Lineage: Bacteria; Pseudomonadati; Pseudomonadota; Gammaproteobacteria; Pseudomonadales; Pseudomonadaceae.